AGUGAACGCUGGCGGUAGGCCUAACACAUGCAAGUCGAACGGCAGCACAGUAAGAGCUUGCUCUUACGGGUGGCGAGUGGCGGACGGGUGAGGAAUACAUCGGAAUCUACUUUUUCGUGGGGGAUAACGUAGGGAAACUUACGCUAAUACCGCAUACGACCUACGGGUGAAAGCAGUGGAUCUUCGGACCUUGCGCGUAUGAAUGAGCCGAUGUCGGACUAGCUAGUUGGCGGGGUAAAGGCCCACCAAGGCACCGAUCCGUAGCUGGUCUGAGAGGAUGAUCAGCCACACUGGAACUGAGACACGGUCCAGACUCCUACGGGAGGCAGCAGUGGGGAAUAUUGGACAAUGGGCGCAAGCCUGAUCCAGCCAUACCGCGUGGGUGAAGAAGGCCUUCGGGUUGUAAAGCCCUUUUGUUGGGAAAGAAAAGCAGCAGGUUAAUACCCCGCUGUUCUGACGGUACCCAAUGAAUAAGCACCGGCUAACUACGUG
Molecule: ribosomal RNA, 492 nt
Filed under: uncultured bacterium
Lineage: Bacteria
Description: partial 16S ribosomal RNA
Rfam family: Bacterial small subunit ribosomal RNA
Source: RNAcentral